RNAcentral lists this transfer RNA (73 nucleotides) under Myotis brandtii (Brandt's bat). It matches the Rfam family "tRNA". Rfam says of the family: Transfer RNA (tRNA) molecules are approximately 80 nucleotides in length. Their secondary structure includes four short double-helical elements and three loops (D, anti-codon, and T loops). Further hydrogen bonds mediate the characteristic L-shaped molecular structure. tRNAs have two regions of fundamental functional importance: the anti-codon, which is responsible for specific mRNA codon recognition, and the 3' end, to which the tRNAs corresponding amino acid is attached (by aminoacyl-tRNA synthetases). tRNAs cope with the degeneracy of the genetic code in two manners: having more than one tRNA (with a specific anti-codon) for a particular amino acid; and 'wobble' base-pairing, i.e. permitting non-standard base-pairing at the 3rd anti-codon position. Lineage: Eukaryota; Metazoa; Chordata; Mammalia; Chiroptera; Vespertilionidae. The record is from Rfam by way of RNAcentral.
GCCGGUGUGGCUCAGUGGAUAGAGCGUCAGUCUGAGGACUGAAGGGUCCCAGGUUCAAUUCCCGGGCAGGGCA